Molecule: unclassified non-coding RNA, 263 nt
Filed under: plant metagenome
Description: partial contains small subunit ribosomal RNA, internal transcribed spacer 1, and 5.8S ribosomal RNA
Source: RNAcentral
UUUCCGUAGGUGAACCUGCGGAAGGAUCAUUAUUGUAUAACCGAGGUGCGAGGGCUGUCGCUGACCCGAAAGGUCGUGCACGCCCGAGUGCCCUCACACACAUCCAUCUCACCCCUAUGUGCACCACCGCGUGGGUCCCCCUUUGGCUUGUUCGGAGGGGGGCUUACGUUUUCACACAAACUCUGUACGCAGUGUAGAAUGUAUUUUUUGUUUUUGCGAUCACGCAAUCAAUACAACUUUCAACAACGGAUCUCUUGGCUCUC